This 218-nucleotide ribosomal RNA is filed under the name uncultured bacterium. RNAcentral's name for it is "partial 16S ribosomal RNA". It matches the Rfam family "Bacterial small subunit ribosomal RNA", at positions 118 to 340 of the family's 1533-position model. The record is from RNAcentral.
UGAGCAAUCUGCCCUUCACAUCGGAAUAACCAUUGGAAACGAUGGCUAAUACCGAAUAUGACUUCGGAUCGCAUGAUCUGAAGUGGAAAGCUCCGGCGGUGAAGGAUGAGCUCGCGGCCUAUCAGCUUGUUGGUGAGGUAAUAGCUCACCAAGGCGAUGACGGGUAGCCGGCCUGAGAGGGUGACCGGCCACACUGGGACUGAGACACGGCGACUCCG